AGCUUUGCGCAGUGGCAGUAUCGUAGCCAAUGAGGUUUAUCUGAGGCGCGAUUACUGCUAACUGCUAACUGAAAACUUCCUCUCCGGCUUAC
Molecule: small nuclear RNA, 92 nt
Filed under: Zalophus californianus (California sea lion)
Lineage: Eukaryota; Metazoa; Chordata; Mammalia; Carnivora; Otariidae
Description: U4 spliceosomal RNA (ENSZCAG00015001657.1)
Rfam family: U4 spliceosomal RNA
About the family: U4 small nuclear RNA (U4 snRNA) is a component of the major U2-dependent spliceosome. The structure of U4 snRNA from yeast and human has been reported.
Source: RNAcentral